This 253-nucleotide ribosomal RNA is filed under the name uncultured bacterium. RNAcentral's name for it is "partial 16S ribosomal RNA". It matches the Rfam family "Bacterial small subunit ribosomal RNA", at positions 524 to 776 of the family's 1533-position model. The record is from RNAcentral.
UACAGAGGGUGCGAGCGUUAAUCGGAAUUACUGGGCGUAAAGGGUGCGUAGGUGGUUACUUAAGUUAGGUGUGAAAGUCCUGGGCUUAACCUGGGGAUUGCGCCUGAUACUGAAUAGCUAGAGUAUUGUAGAGGAAAGCGGAAUUUCCGGUGUAGCGGUGAAAUGCGUAGGUAUCGGAAGGAACAUCGGUGGCGAAGGCGGCUUUCUGGACAAAUACUGACACUGAGGCACGAAAGCAUGGGGAGCAAACAGG